RNAcentral lists this unclassified non-coding RNA (390 nucleotides) under Hevea brasiliensis (rubber tree). Lineage: Eukaryota; Viridiplantae; Streptophyta; Magnoliopsida; Malpighiales; Euphorbiaceae. The record is from RNAcentral.
GAAGGACUCUGUUGCUUCAUCAGUUGUGUUUUCCACUGAUGUUCUUAGAUCAACGUAGUGGUACAUAUCAUCAAAAGUACAGGACAAAUGCCAUCAAUAAAAAUGAAGGCCAAGUUAAGCCCGGGCUGCUUAAGAGAAAAACAUUGUCUUCGUGUUUGUCAGAAAUCUAGUGUCAUCUCUAAAAAAGCUUGUUCUCACCUGAGGGCGUCUGAAGAGACAGAUGAAUUUGAUGGCGGUAUUACAAAAUGUCUGGAGGGUAAGUAAUUUCUAGCUUAUUUCUUUCUUUUUAACUUAAAUGUUAUCUGAUUUUAUUAUUUAACAAUAUAUUGUUGAUUACGUUCAUAGUUUGUGGACUGCAUCUCAUGUAAAGGCUUUCUCGACCUUUGCUUU